AGAAGAUGACAACCGUCAAGAUGAAAACAAAGAAAUAGAUAACAAGUGUAAUGAUACUACUCCACUAAGCCAGUCUAGCUUCAAUGAUAAAGUUUGUAACACAGUCCACCAUUCAACUGGAAGUUUAAAGAUCAUGUUACACAUGUCCAACAUUAAACUUUUGGAUGUCACAGAUUUUACCAAUGACAAUGAUUUACCAGAAAAUUUCUGGAAUGAUGACUUCUGUAAAGUUAAACUGAGUGAAGAUUUGUGGAAAGAUGUGGACAAUUGGAAUUAAAAUGUGUCACAUAA
Mytilus trossulus (common blue mussel) is the source of this 291-nucleotide long non-coding RNA. RefSeq lists it as uncharacterized. The record is from RefSeq and is a predicted model, not a curated record. NCBI's taxonomy places the organism in Eukaryota, Metazoa, Mollusca, Bivalvia, Mytilida, Mytilidae. The transcript has 2 exons.